GCUCAGAUUGAACGCUGGCGGCAGGCCUAACACAUGCAAGUCGGACGGUAACAGGAAGCAGCUUGCUGCUUUGCUGACGAGUGGCGGACGGGUGAGUAAUGUCUGGGAAACUGCCCGAUGGAGGGGGAUAACUACUGGAAACGGUAGCUAAUACCGCAUAACGUCGCAAGACCAAAGAGGGGGACCUUCGGGCCUCUUGCCAUCGGAUGUGCCCAGAUGGGAUUAGCUUGUUGGUGAGGUAACGGCUCACCAAGGCGACGAUCCCUAGCUGGUCUGAGAGGAUGACCAGCCACACUGGAACUGAGACACGGUCCAGACUCCUACGGGAGGCAGCAGUGGGGAAUAUUGCACAAUGGGCGCAAGCCUGAUGCAGCCAUGCCGCGUGUAUGAAGAAGGCCUUCGGGUUGUAAAGUACUUUCAGCGGGGAGGAAGGGGAUGUGGUUAAUAACCACAUUCAUUGACGUUACCCGCAGAAGAAGCACCGGCUAACUCCGUGCCAGCAGCCGCGGUAAUACGGAGGGUGCAAGCGUUAAUCGGAAUUACUGGGCGUAAAGCGCACGCAGGCGGUCUGUCAAGUCGGAUGUGAAAUCCCCGGGCUCAACCUGGGAACUGCAUUCGAAACUGGCAGGCUUGAGUCUCGUAGAGGGGGGUAGAAUUCCAGGUGUAGCGGUGAAAUGCGUAGAGAUCUGGAGGAAUACCGGUGGCGAAGGCGGCCCCCUGGACGAAGACUGACGCUCAGGUGCGAAAGCGUGGGGAGCAAACAGGAUUAGAUACCCUGGUAGUCCACGCCGUAAACGAUGUCUAUUUGGAGGUUGUUCCCUUGAGGAGUGGCUUCCGGAGCUAACGCGUUAAAUAGACCGCCUGGGGAGUACGGCCGCAAGGUUAAAACUCAAAUGAAUUGACGGGGGCCCGCACAAGCGGUGGAGCAUGUGGUUUAAUUCGAUGCAACGCGAAGAACCUUACCUGGUCUUGACAUCCACAGAACUUUCCAGAGAUGGAUUGGUGCCUUCGGGAACUGUGAGACAGGUGCUGCAUGGCUGUCGUCAGCUCGUGUUGUGAAAUGUUGGGUUAAGUCCCGCAACGAGCGCAACCCUUAUCCUUUGUUGCCAGCGGUCCGGCCGGGAACUCAAAGGAGACUGCCAGUGAUAAACUGGAGGAAGGUGGGGAUGACGUCAAGUCAUCAUGGCCCUUACGACCAGGGCUACACACGUGCUACAAUGGCAUAUACAAAGAGAAGCGACCUCGCGAGAGCAAGCGGACCUCAUAAAGUAUGUCGUAGUCCGGAUUGGAGUCUGCAACUCGACUCCAUGAAGUCGGAAUCGCUAGUAAUCGUGGAUCAGAAUGCCACGGUGAAUACGUUCCCGGGCCUUGUACACACCGCCCGU
This 1385-nucleotide ribosomal RNA is filed under the name uncultured Gammaproteobacteria bacterium. RNAcentral's name for it is "bacterial SSU rRNA". It matches the Rfam family "Bacterial small subunit ribosomal RNA", at positions 22 to 1397 of the family's 1533-position model. The record is from RNAcentral. Lineage: Bacteria; Pseudomonadati; Pseudomonadota; Gammaproteobacteria.